GUUGUAUAGUCAAGUAAUUAAGUGCAUGUGGUGGAUGCCUUGGCAGUCAGAGGCGAUGAAAGACGUGAUAGCCUGCGAAAAGCUCCGGGGAGGCGGCAAAUAUCCUUUGAUCCGGAGAUGUCUGAAUGGGGGAACCCACCUACUUUAAGGUAGGUAUUGCAACAUGAAUACAUAGUGUUGCAAGGCGAACGAGGGGAAGUGAAACAUCUCAGUACCCUUAGGAAAAGAAAUCAAUUGAGAUUCCCUCAGUAGCGGCGAGCGAACGGGGAUCAGCCCAUUAAGUUAUGUGUGUUUUAGUGGAACGCUCUGGGAAGUGCGAACGUAGAGGGUGAUAUUCCCGUACACGAAAGGGCACACAUAAUGAUGACGAGUAGGGCGAGGCACGUGAAACCUUGUCUGAAUAUGGGGGGACCAUCCUCCAAGGCUAAAUACUCCUGACUGACCGAUAGUGAACCAGUACCGUGAGGGAAAGGCGAAAAGAACCCCUGUGAGGGGAGUGAAAUAGAUCCUGAAACCGCAUGCAUACAAGCAGUGGGAGCACCUUCGUGGUGUGACUGCGUACCUUUUGUAUAAUGGGUCAGCGACUUAUAUUCAGUAGCAAGGUUAACCGUAUAGGGGAGCCGUAGAGAAAUCGAGUCUUAAUAGGGCGUUUAGUUGCUGGGUAUAGACCCGAAACCAGGCGAUCUAUCCAUGAGCAGGUUGAAGGUUGGGUAACACUAACUGGAGGACCGAACCCACUGUCGUUGAAAAGCCAGGGGAUGACUUGUGGAUAGGGGUGAAAGGCUAAUCAAGCCUGGUGAUAGCUGGUUCUCCCCGAAAGCUAUUUAGGUAGCGCCUCGGACGAAUACCAUAGGGGGUAGAGCACUGUUUCGGCUAGGGGGUCAUCCCGACUUACCAAACCGAUGCAAACUCCGAAUACCUAUGAGUACUAUCCGGGAGACAGACUGCGGGUGCUAACGUCCGUAGUCAAGAGGAAAACAAUCCAGACCGCCAGCUAAGGCCCCAAAAUCAUAGUUAAGUGGGAAACGAUGUGGGAAGGCAUAGACAGCUAGGAGGUUGGCUUAGAAGCAGCCACCCUUUAAAGAAAGCGUAAUAGCUCACUAGUCGAGUCGGCCUGCGCGGAAGAUGUAACGGGGCUAAAACUAUGUGCCGAAGCUGCGGAUNNNNNNNNNNAUGCUGGAGGUAUCAGAAGUGCGAAUGCUGACGUGAGUAACGACAAAACGGGUGAAAAACCCGUUCGCCGAAAGACCAAGGGUUCCAGUCCAACGUUAAUCGGGGCUGGGUGAGUCGACCCCUAAGGCGAGGCCGAAAGGCGUAGUCGAUGGGAAAAUGGUUAAUAUUCCAUUACUUCUGUGUAAUGCGAUGAGAGGACGGAGAAGGCUAAAUCAGCCUGGCGUUGGUUGUCCAGGUGAAAGGAUGUAGGCAUGUAUCUUAGGCAAAUCCGGGGUACUCUAUGCUGAGAUCUGAUAGCAAGCUGUACUUGUACAGCGAAGUGGUUGAUGCCAUGCUUCCAGGAAAAGUCUCUAAGCUUCAGUUACACAGGAAUCGUACCCGAAACCGACACAGGUGGUCAGGUCGAGUAGACCAAGGCGCUUGAGAGAACUCUGCUGAAGGAACUAGGCAAAAUGGUACCGUAACUUCGGGAGAAGGUACGCUGUUGUUGGUGAUGGAACUCGCUUCCUGAGCUGACGACAGCCGCAGAAACCAGGCCGCUGCAACUGUUUAUUAAAAACAUAGCACUCUGCAAACACGAAAGUGGACGUAUAGGGUGUGAUGCCUGCCCGGUGCUGGAAGGUUAAUUGAUGGGGUUAGCGUAAGCGAAGCUCUUGAUCGAAGCCCCAGUAAACGGCGGCCGUAACUAUAACGGUCCUAAGGUAGCGAAAUUCCUUGUCGGGUAAGUUCCGACCUGCACGAAUGGCAUAAUGAUGGCGGCGCUGUCUCCAGCAGAGGCUCAGUGAAAUCGAAAUCGCUGUGAAGAUGCAGUGUACCCGCGGCUAGACGGAAAGACCCCGUGAACCUUUACUGCAGCUUGACACUGAACUUUGACCUUACUUGUGUAGGAUAGGUGGGAGGCUUUGAAGCUGGAACGCUAGUUCCAGUGGAGCCGUCCUUGAAAUACCACCCUGGUAAUGUUGAGGUUCUAACUCUGUCCCGUGAUCCGGGACGAGGACCGUGUCUGGUGGGUAGUUUGACUGGGGCGGUCUCCUCCUAAAGAGUAACGGAGGAGUACGAAGGUGCGCUCAGCGUGGUCGGAAAUCACGCGUAGAGUAUAAAGGCAAAAGCGCGCUUAACUGCGAGACCCACAAGUCGAGCAGGUACGAAAGUAGGUCUUAGUGAUCCGGUGGUUCUGUAUGGAAGGGCCAUCGCUCAACGGAUAAAAGGUACUCUGGGGAUAACAGGCUGAUACCGCCCAAGAGUUCAUAUCGACGGCGGUGUUUGGCACCUCGAUGUCGGCUCAUCUCAUCCUGGGGCUGAAGCAGGUCCCAAGGGUAUGGCUGUUCGCCAUUUAAAGAGGUACGCGAGCUGGGUUUAGAACGUCGUGAGACAGUUCGGUCCCUAUCUACCGUGGGCGCUGGAAAUUUGAGAGGAUCUGCUCCUAGUACGAGAGGACCAGAGUGGACGAACCUCUGGUGUACCGGUUGUGACGCCAGUCGCAUCGCCGGGUAGCUAUGUUCGGAAGGGAUAACCGCUGAAAGCAUCUAAGCGGGAAGCCUACCUCAAGAUAAGAUUUCCCUAGGACUUUAUGUCCUCUAAAGAGCCGUUCGAGACUAGGACGUUGAUAGGUUGGAUGUGGAAGCAUAGUGAUAUGUGAAGCUGACCAAUACUAAUUGCUCGUGAGGCUUGACUAUACAACACCCAAGCAGUUG
This 2867-nucleotide ribosomal RNA is filed under the name Acinetobacter baumannii. RNAcentral's name for it is "bacterial LSU rRNA". It matches the Rfam family "Bacterial large subunit ribosomal RNA". The record is from RNAcentral. Lineage: Bacteria; Pseudomonadati; Pseudomonadota; Gammaproteobacteria; Moraxellales; Moraxellaceae.